This 382-nucleotide ribosomal RNA is filed under the name uncultured bacterium. RNAcentral's name for it is "partial 16S ribosomal RNA". It matches the Rfam family "Bacterial small subunit ribosomal RNA", at positions 355 to 729 of the family's 1533-position model. The record is from RNAcentral.
UGGGGAAUAUUGCACAAUGGGCGCAAGCCUGAUGCAGCCAUGCCGCGUGUGUGAAGAAGGCCUUCGGGUUGUAAGCACUUUCAGCGAGGAGGAAGGUGGUGAACUUAAUACGUUCAUCAAUUGACGUUACUCGCAGAAGAAGCACCGGCUAACUCCGUGCCAGCAGCCGCGGUAAUACGGGAGGGUGCAAGCGUUAAUCGGAAUUACUGGGCGUAAAGCGCACGCAGGCGGUUUGUUAAGUCAGAUGUGAAAUCCCCGGGCUCAACCUGGGAACUGCAUUUGAAACUGGCAAGCUAGAGUCUCGUAGAGGGGGGUAGAAUUCCAGGUGUAGCGGUGAAAUGCGUAGAGAUCUGGAGGAAUACCGGUGGCGAAGGCGGCCCCC